Molecule: ribosomal RNA, 505 nt
Filed under: uncultured bacterium
Lineage: Bacteria
Description: partial 16S ribosomal RNA
Rfam family: Bacterial small subunit ribosomal RNA
Source: RNAcentral
GACGAACGCUGGCGGCGUGCCUAAUACAUGCAAGUAGAACGCACAAUUUAUACCGUAGCUUGCUACACCAUAGACUGUGAGUUGCGAACGGGUGAGUAACGCGUAGGUAACCUGCCUGGUAGCGGGGGAUAACUAUUGGAAACGAUAGCUAAUACCGCAUAAUAUUGAUUAUUGCAUGAUAAUUAAUUGAAAGGUGCAAUUGCACCACUACCAGAUGGACCUGCGUUGUAUUAGCUAGUAGGUGAGGUAACGGCUCACCUAGGCGACGAUACAUAGCCGACCUGAGAGGGUGAUCGGCCACACUGGGACUGAGACACGGCCCAGACUCCUACGGGAGGCAGCAGUAGGGAAUCUUCGGCAAUGGACGAAAGUCUGACCGAGCAACGCCGCGGGAGUGAAGAAGGUUUUCGGAUCGUAAAGCUCUGUUGUAAGAGAAGAACGGGUGUGAGAGUGGAAAGUUCACACUGUGACGGUAUCUUACCAGAAAGGGACGGCUAACUACGUG